Molecule: long non-coding RNA, 262 nt
Organism: Alnus glutinosa
Lineage: Eukaryota; Viridiplantae; Streptophyta; Magnoliopsida; Fagales; Betulaceae
Exons: 3
Source: RefSeq, a predicted model, not a curated record
AAAAAAUACACAUAACACUAGCAAUUUCUAAUUAAAUUUCUGUUUCUUUCUUUUCUCAUCGCUAACCAUUGAUGCUUCUAAACGCUAGCUAAUGGUGUUCUUUUCUUAGGUAAACCAGGAAUCUUGUUCUAUGUUAACAUGAUAUACGGAAUUUUUUGGCAUAUACUAGCACUACCAUCGUACAUCGUAUCUUAUCUACCACAACUACGAAUACCACCACCACUACGACCACUAGUACGAAUACAUUGGACAUUUCUCGAAG